This 253-nucleotide ribosomal RNA is filed under the name uncultured bacterium. RNAcentral describes it as "partial 16S ribosomal RNA". It matches the Rfam family "Bacterial small subunit ribosomal RNA", at positions 524 to 776 of the family's 1533-position model. The record is from RNAcentral.
GACGAACCGUGCGAACGUUGUUCGGAAUCACUGGGCUUAAAGGGCGCGUAGGCGGGCCGCCGCGUCCGGGGUGAAAUCCCCCCGCUCAACGGGGGGACGGCCUCGGAUACGGGCGGCCUGGAGGCGGGUAGGGGCACGCGGAACUGUGGGUGGAGCGGUGAAAUGCGUUGAGAUCCACAGGAACUCCGGUGGCGAAGGCGGCGUGCUGGACCGGCAUUGACGCUGAGGAGCGAAAGCCAGGGGAGCAAACGGG